RNAcentral lists this ribosomal RNA (397 nucleotides) under uncultured bacterium. RNAcentral describes it as "bacterial SSU rRNA". It matches the Rfam family "Bacterial small subunit ribosomal RNA", at positions 30 to 429 of the family's 1533-position model. The record is from RNAcentral.
AUUGAACGCUGGCGGCAUGCCUUACACAUGCAAGUCGAACGGCAGCACGGGAGCAAUCCUGGUGGCGAGUGGCGAACGGGUGAGUAAUAUAUCGGAACGUGCCCAGUCGUGGGGGAUAACGUAGCGAAAGCUACGCUAAUACCGCAUACGAUCUACGGAUGAAAGCGGGGGAUCGCAAGACCUCGCGCGAUUGGAGCGGCCGAUAUCAGAUUAGCUAGUUGGUGGGGUAAAAGCUCACCAAGGCGACGAUCUGUAGCUGGUCUGAGAGGACGACCAGCCACACUGGAACUGAGACACGGUCCAGACUCCUACGGGAGGCAGCAGUGGGGAAUUUUGGACAAUGGGCGAAAGCCUGAUCCAGCAAUGCCGCGUGCAGGACGAAGGCCUCGGUUGUAAC